Molecule: ribosomal RNA, 711 nt
Filed under: Triticum aestivum (bread wheat)
Lineage: Eukaryota; Viridiplantae; Streptophyta; Magnoliopsida; Poales; Poaceae
Description: partial small subunit ribosomal RNA
Source: RNAcentral
GCCAGCCACCUGCCUGUAAAAAAAAGAGGGGUUGGUCGCUCCUUCUCCUUCUCCUUCGCCUAGCUCAGCCGCUCUCGCUCCCGCUCCUGCUACCGCCGCGAGGCCGAUCGCCACUCCUCUAAAACGCUGGCACGCGAGCCCUCUAGUCGCCCGUAAAUGCUCGAGUUCCGACGGUUCCUUAAGGGGCUGUAACUAGGACCCGUAGAGUUCCGACGGUCCUUUAAGGGGUUUGAAGCACAGUUCCUACAACUACGAUGCCGAGACUUACAGAAGUUCUAAGAGUCCCUCUCAGGUCAGCUACCAGUAUUUCUACAUUGGGAAGCACUUCACGCGUACUGUGAGUUCUGGAACCGACUCUAAGUCCUUCUUCUUACUUCUACGCGAUGAUCCUUCGUUAUAGCAGAGAACGAGAUUAUACUUGAUCGAAACGUCAUAACAUCAUAAACUUAGAAAGGAUACAACAGCGAGACACAGAACUAGAAGUUUUGACGACCUGCCUACACUACAAAACGAUAAAAGAACGAAGCGUUCCAACUUAGUAGGAAACUAGAACUGUACGGGUGGUCUAAGCUCACAUUCGAAAGCCCGAUCGCUAUUCCCGCCGUACAUGAACCAUAAGCAUUCUAAACGACCUACGAACAUGAGUCAAAGGAAUUUAAUAUUUUAUGAUAUACCAUUACCUUACCUAGUAAACCUUUCUUUCUUCUAAAC